RNAcentral lists this long non-coding RNA (266 nucleotides) under Elaeis guineensis (African oil palm). RNAcentral's name for it is "long non-coding RNA (EGUI_LNC057962)". The record is from RNAcentral. Lineage: Eukaryota; Viridiplantae; Streptophyta; Magnoliopsida; Arecales; Arecaceae.
UUCGCGACCAAAUGAUACGUUGUUACCAAAGACGACAAUGUUUAUCAAGCAUAGGUCAUUGUGUGCCAUAUAGGUUGGUUGUCCUCUUAACCAAUGAGUGUGGAGACACUGGUAUGGCAUACAGGUGAGAUGUAAGGGUACAUCUGCACUGAACGUGACCGACUUUGGAGCUAUUUCUGCUGUCAAGAUUUGCUCCGAUGGAAUAUGGGUAUAAAUAUCCCUCCGACCUGAGACCGUCAUGGUGACUUGCAAGCAACUCACUGCAC